AUGCUUCUUUUUUUUCAUAGAAAGAUUUCCAUGAUAGACAAUUUCUCUUUCGGCAAAAAUUAGGAUCGAAAUAAUUAAGGGAACGUUGAAUAUUGCGAGAAGAAACGGAACGAAAACCUUUUUGUAAUCGAUCGUUAAAAAUCCAAUUGAAUUUCGUCAAGGAUUUUUUAGAGAAGCUGACAAUGUAACGAACGUAUUCGCACAUUUCGUUGUUCGCGUUGCCACGCAAUCUGUCUCAACGCUUAUUAUUAACGCCAAUUACAACGUAACAUAUAAAUACACGAAUCCUUAAAAUUCUCAAGAUACGUAAAAAGCACGCUUGGUCAAACAAAUUCUGUUAAUCUCCAUUCUGCAAUUUUUCAUUACGUUUAUAUCACUGAAAAUAUAACUGAGAGAAUGUAAAUGAGAUUUGGUAUCAAUAGCGUGACAAAGAAUUGG
RNAcentral lists this unclassified non-coding RNA (438 nucleotides) under Bombus terrestris (buff-tailed bumblebee). RNAcentral describes it as "misc RNA ENSBTSG00005021364.1". The record is from RNAcentral. Lineage: Eukaryota; Metazoa; Arthropoda; Insecta; Hymenoptera; Apidae.